This 428-nucleotide ribosomal RNA is filed under the name Pseudomonadota bacterium. RNAcentral describes it as "Proteobacteria bacterium partial 16S ribosomal RNA". It matches the Rfam family "Bacterial small subunit ribosomal RNA", at positions 355 to 776 of the family's 1533-position model. The record is from RNAcentral. Lineage: Bacteria; Pseudomonadati; Pseudomonadota.
UGGGGAAUAUUGGACAAUGGGCGAAAGCCUGAUCCAGCCAUGCCGCGUGUGUGAAGAAGGUCUUCGGAUUGUAAAGCACUUUAAGUUGGGAGGAAGGGCAGUAAGCGAAUACCUUGCUGUUUUGACGUUACCGACAGAAUAAGCACCGGCUAACUCUGUGCCAGCAGCCGCGGUAAUACAGAGGGUGCAAGCGUUAAUCGGAAUUACUGGGCGUAAAGCGCGCGUAGGUGGUUCGUUAAGUUGAAUGUGAAAGCCCCGGGCUCAACCUGGGAUCUGCAUCCAAAACUGGCGAGCUAGAGUAGGGCAGAGGGUGGUGGAAUUUCCUGUGUAGCGGUGAAAUGCGUAGAUAUAGGAAGGAACACAGUGGCGAAGGCGACCACCUGGGCUCAUACUGACACUGAGGUGCGAAAGCGUGGGGAGCAAACAGG